This 443-nucleotide ribosomal RNA is filed under the name uncultured bacterium. RNAcentral's name for it is "partial 16S ribosomal RNA". It matches the Rfam family "Bacterial small subunit ribosomal RNA", at positions 338 to 795 of the family's 1533-position model. The record is from RNAcentral.
CCUACGGGGGGCUGCAGUGGGGAAUAUUGGGCAAUGGGCGCAAGCCUGACCCAGCAACGCCGCGUGAAGGAAGAAGGCUUUCGGGUUGUAAACUUCUUUUCUGAGGGAAGAAGAAAGUGACGGUACCUCAGGAAUCAGCCACGACUAACUACGGGCCAGCAGCCGCGGUAAUAGGUAGGUGGGAAGCGUUCUGCGGAUUUAUUGGGUGUAAAGGGCGAGUCGGCGGGAAAUGAAGUCAGAUGUGAAACCUCAGGGCUCAACCCUGGGCCUGCAGUUGAAACUGUUUUUGUUGAGUGCUGGAGAGGCAAUCGGAAUUCCGGGUGUAGCGGUGAAAUGCGUAGAUAUACGGAGGAACACCAGUGGCGAAGGCGGAUUGCUGGACAGUAACUGACGCUGAGGCGCGAAAGCGUGGGGAGCAAACAGGAUUAGAUACCCGAGUAGUC